GUGGGGAAUAUUGCACAAUGGGCGAAAGCCUGAUGCAGCGACGCCGCGUGAGCGAAGAAGUAUUUCGGUAUGUAAAGCUCUAUCAGCAGGGAAGAUAAUGACGGUACCUGACUAAGAAGCACCGGCUAAAUACGUGCCAGCAGCCGCGGUAAUACGUAUGGUGCAAGCGUUAUCCGGAUUUACUGGGUGUAAAGGGAGCGCAGGCGGUGCGGCAAGUCUGAUGUGAAAGCCCGGGGCUCAACCCCGGUACUGCAUUGGAAACUGUCGUACUAGAGUGUCGGAGGGGUAAGCGGAAUUCCUAGUGUAGCGGUGAAAUGCGUAGAUAUUAGGAGGAACACCAGUGGCGAAGGCGGCUUACUGGACGAUAACUGACGCUGAGGCUCGAAAGCGUGGGGAGCAAACAGGAUUAGAAACCCGAGUAGUCC
This 425-nucleotide ribosomal RNA is filed under the name uncultured bacterium. Its description in RNAcentral is "partial 16S ribosomal RNA". It matches the Rfam family "Bacterial small subunit ribosomal RNA", at positions 354 to 796 of the family's 1533-position model. The record is from RNAcentral.